AGAUUGAACGCUGGCGGCGUGCCUAACACAUGCAAGUCGAGCGGUAACAGGUGUAGCAAUACAUGCUGACGAGCGGCGAACGGGUGAGUAAUGCUUUGGAAUCUUCCCAGUAGUGGGGAAUAACCAGUCGAAAGAUUGGCUAAUACCGCAUACGUCUGUAAAGGGAAAGCGGGGGCUCGUAAGACCUCGCGCUAUUGGAUGAGCCAAAGUCGGAUUAGCUAGUUGGUGGGGUAACGGCCUACCAAGGCGACAAUCCGUAGCUGGUCUGAGAGGACGACCAGCCACACCGGAACUGAGACACGGUCCGGACUCCUACGGGAGGCAGCAGUGGGGAAUAUUGGACAAUGGGGGAAACCCUGAUCCAGCGACGCCGCGUGUGUGAAGAAGGCCUGCGGGUUGUAAAGCACUUUUAGUGGGGACAAAAAGCUACGGAUUAAUACUCUGUGGUCUUGAUUUAACCCAAGAAAAGCACCGGCUAACUCUGUGCCAGCAGCCGC
RNAcentral lists this ribosomal RNA (497 nucleotides) under uncultured bacterium. RNAcentral's name for it is "SSU rRNA". It matches the Rfam family "Bacterial small subunit ribosomal RNA", at positions 26 to 518 of the family's 1533-position model. The record is from RNAcentral.